RNAcentral lists this ribosomal RNA (492 nucleotides) under uncultured bacterium. RNAcentral's name for it is "partial 16S ribosomal RNA". It matches the Rfam family "Bacterial small subunit ribosomal RNA", at positions 29 to 507 of the family's 1533-position model. The record is from RNAcentral.
AGUGAACGCUGGCGGUAGGCCUAACACAUGCAAGUCGAACGGCAGCACAGUAAGAGCUUGCUCUUACGGGUGGCGAGUGGCGGACGGGUGAGGAAUACAUCGGAAUCUACUUUUUCGUGGGGGAUAACGUAGGGAAACUUACGCUAAUACCGCAUACGACCUACGGGUGAAAGCAGGGGAUCUUCGGACCUUGCGCGAUUGAAUGAGCCGAUGUCGGAUUAGCUAGUUGGCGGGGUAAAGGCCCACCAAGGCGACGCUCCGUAGCUGGUCUGAGAGGAUGAUCAGCCACACUGGAACUGAGACACGGUCCAGACGCCUACGGGAGGCAGCAGUGGGGAAUAUUGGACAAUGGGCGCAAGCCUGAUCCAGCCAUACCGCGUGGGUGAAGAAGGCCUUCGGGUUGUAAAGCCCUUUUGUUGGGAAAGAAAAGCAGCAGGUUAAUACCCCGCUGUUCUGACGGUACCCAAAGAAUAAGCACCGGCUAACUUCGUG